UCCCUCCUCUCGCUUACCGCAGGCGGCGGCGGCCCCGCCGACUGUACAGAAAGAGGAGGCAGAGCAGGCAGCCCCGAAUACACCCCGGCGGCGGAGUCCGUGCCCCGACUGGACUGUGAUCGGGGGGACAGCC
Small nucleolar RNA from Tachyglossus aculeatus (Australian echidna), 133 nucleotides. RefSeq annotates it as small nucleolar RNA SNORA51. The record is from RefSeq and is a predicted model, not a curated record. The transcript has a single exon. Lineage: Eukaryota; Metazoa; Chordata; Mammalia; Monotremata; Tachyglossidae.